AGAGUUUGAUCUCUGGCUCAGGACGAACGCUGGCGGCGUGCCUAAUACAUGCAAGUAGAACGCUGAAGAGAGGAGCUUGCUCUUCUUGGAUGAGUUGCGAACGGGUGAGUAACGCGUAGGUAACCUGCCUUGUAGCGGGGGAUAACUAUUGGAAACGAUAGCUAAUACCGCAUAACAAUGGAUGACACAUGUCAUUUAUUUGAAAGGGGCAAUUGCUCCACUACAAGAUGGACCUGCGUUGUAUUAGCUAGUAGGUGAGGUAAUGGCUCACCUAGGCGACGAUACAUAGCCGACCUGAGAGGGUGAUCGGCCACACUGGGACUGAGACACGGCCCAGACUCCUACGGGAGGCAGCAGUAGGGAAUCUUCGGCAAUGGGGGCAACCCUGACCGAGCAACGCCGCGUGAGUGAAGAAGGUUUUCGGAUCGUAAAGCUCUGUUGUAUGUCAAGAACGGGUGUGAGAGUGGAAAGUUCACACUGUGACGGUAGCUUACCAGAAAGGGACGGCUAACUACGUGCCAGCAGCCGCGGUAAUACGUAGGUCCCGAGCGUUGUCCGGAUUUAUUGGGCGUAAAGCGAGCGCAGGCGGUUUGAUAAGUCUGAAGUUAAAGGCUGUGGCUCAACCAUAGUUCGCUUUGGAAACUGUCAAACUUGAGUGCAGAAGGGGAGAGUGGAAUUCCAUGUGUAGCGGUGAAAUGCGUAGAUAUAUGGAGGAACACCGGUGGCGAAAGCGGCUCUCUGGUCUGUAACUGACGCUGAGGCUCGAAAGCGUGGGGAGCGAACAGGAUUAGAUACCCUGGUAGUCCACGCCGUAAACGAUCAGUAAAAGGUGUUGGAUCCUUUCCAGGAUUCAGUGCCGAGGGUAAAGCAAUAAGCCACUCCCCCUGGUGAGUACGACCGCAAGGUUGAAACUCAAAGGAAUGUACGGGGGCCCGCACAAGCGGUGGAGCAUGUGGUUUAAUUUGAAGCAACGCGAAGAACCAUACCAGGUCUUGACAUCCCGAUGCUAUUUCUAGAGAUAGAAAGAUACUUCGGUACAUCGGUGACAGGUGGUGCAUGGUUGUCGUCAGCUCGUGUCGUGAGAUGUUGGGUUAAGUCCCGCAACGAGCGCAACCCCUAUUGUUAGUUGCCAUCAUUCAGUUGGGCACUCUAGCGAGACUGCCGGUAAUAAACCGGAGGAAGGUGGGGAGGACGUCAAAUCAUCAUGCCCCCUAUGACCUGGGCUACACACGUGCUACAAUGGUUGGUACAACGAGUUGCGAGUCGGUGACGGCGAGCUAAUCUCUUAAAGCCAAUCUCAGUUCGGAUUGUAGGCUGCAACUCCCCUACAUGAAGUCGGAAUCGCUAGUAAUCGCGGAUCAGCACGCCGCGGUGAAUA
This 1378-nucleotide ribosomal RNA is filed under the name uncultured bacterium. RNAcentral describes it as "16S ribosomal RNA". It matches the Rfam family "Bacterial small subunit ribosomal RNA", at positions 8 to 1368 of the family's 1533-position model. The record is from RNAcentral.